RNAcentral lists this ribosomal RNA (447 nucleotides) under uncultured bacterium. RNAcentral describes it as "bacterial SSU rRNA". It matches the Rfam family "Bacterial small subunit ribosomal RNA", at positions 329 to 793 of the family's 1533-position model. The record is from RNAcentral.
UACCAGACUCCUACGGGAGGCAGCAGUGGGGAAUAUUGCACAAUGGGGGAAACCCUGAUGCAGCAACGCCGCGUGAGUGAAGAAGUAUUUCGGUAUGUAAAGCUCUAUCAGCAGGGAAGAAAAUGACGGUACCUGAGUAAGAAGCCCCGGCUAACUACGUGCCAGCAGCCGCGGUAAUACGUAGGGGGCAAGCGUUAUCCGGAUUUACUGGGUGUAAAGGGAGCGUAGACGGCGAUACAAGUCUGAAGUGAAAGCCCGGGGCUCAACCCCGGGACUGCUUUGGAAACUGUGUUGCUGGAGUGCUGGAGAGGCAAGCGGAAUUCCUAGUGUAGCGGUGAAAUGCGUAGAUAUUAGGAAGAACACCAGUGGCGAAGGCGGCUUACUGGACUGUAACUGACGUUGAGGCUCGAAAGCGUGGGGAGCAAACAGGAUUAGAUACCCCUGUAA